UUUUUCCCUUUACAGCCAACGAAAACAUAACCCGCAGUUUACAAGGUGAAGUAGACUUAAUGACGCCACAAUAAACUUGCUGUCGCCUCCAAGUAGACUUUCUGGUGGCAUAAUAGACUUCCCGCCGCCAAACUUCAUUCUGUGCCUUCGAUGCGAAGCAGACUUACCGACGCCUCAAAAGGAAUUUUUGGCUCCAAUCGGGAUGAGGAGAGGCCAUGUACUGUUAUCUACGAGGGACAAGGAGAGGCCAUGUCAGCCCAGUUGGAAACUAGGGGCCUAGAUCGAAGUCAAAGUUAUGUAAAUUUGGCUUCUAACUACGCCUUCUAUGGCCAGAUGGUAGCUCAUCAAAAAUUCUUCCUACAUUAUGAGACACUCACUUGAAGAAAUUAUCACAGCUGGAGGAGACACUCAAAGUAGUUUAAAUGAGGAAUAGUCAGUUUUUGAAACGUUGAUUUUCUGAUGUGCAUAGGAGGUAGUUGUGUGAAAAAUACAACUUGGUGGUUUCUCAGCAAGCUCAUCCCCACCCAUCUCUCUCUUAACUACAAUUGAAAAGGACAAGAGGAGUAAAGCUUGAAUUUUUCCACUUUUGCGCUAAUCAACAAGUUGAUUUUUGAGAGGAAACCCCUAAAACAGUUACAUCAUUGGGAUUCCUGGCACAUGUCUUUAUGCAUGACUAAAAGUAGUACUUUUGACUGAAGGAAACAACUCCAUUGAGCAAGUGGUGUGGUCGUCAAAUUGUAGGAGUUGAAUAAUUUUAUUUUGGAUAAACAUUUUAUUUUAUUAUAUGUAAGAUACCAUGUUG
Long non-coding RNA from Uloborus diversus, 802 nucleotides. RefSeq lists it as uncharacterized. The record is from RefSeq and is a predicted model, not a curated record. The transcript has 6 exons. Lineage: Eukaryota; Metazoa; Arthropoda; Arachnida; Araneae; Uloboridae.